UACGGGGAGAGCAAGCUUUGUCCGGAAUCACUGGGUUUAAAGGGAGCGCAGGCGGCUAGAUAAGUCAGAGGUGAAAGAUUGUCGCUUAACGAUAGAACUGCCUUUGAUACUGUUAAGCUUGAAAGUAGGUGAGGUUGGCGGAAUGUGACAUGUAGCGGUGAAAUGCAUAGAUAUGUCAUAGAACACCGAUUGGGUAGGGAGACGGUGAACCUGACUUUGACGCUGAGGCACGAAAGCGUGGGUAGCGAACAGG
RNAcentral lists this ribosomal RNA (253 nucleotides) under uncultured bacterium. RNAcentral describes it as "partial 16S ribosomal RNA". It matches the Rfam family "Bacterial small subunit ribosomal RNA", at positions 524 to 776 of the family's 1533-position model. The record is from RNAcentral.